GUCUGAUGGAGCAACGCCGCGUGAACGAUGAAGGCUUUCGGGUCGUAAAGUUCUGUUGUAAGGGAAGAACAAGUGCCGCAGGCAAUGGCGGCACCUUGACGGUACCUUGCGAGAAAGCCACCGGCUAACUACGUGCCAGCAGCCGCGGUAAUACGUAGGUGGCAAGCGUUGUCCGGAAUUAUUGGGCGUAAAGCGCGCGCAGGCGGCCUCUUAAGUCUGAUGUGAAAGCCCCCCGGCUCAACCGGGGAGGGCCAUUGGAAACUGGGAGGCUUGAGUAUAGGAGAGAAGAGUGGAAUUCCACGUGUAGCGGUGAAAUGCGUAGAGAUGUGGAGGAACACCAGUGGCGAAGGCGACUCUUUGGCCUAUAACUGACGCUGAGGCGCGAAAGCGUGGGGAGCAAACAGGAUUAGAUACCCUGGUAG
This 422-nucleotide ribosomal RNA is filed under the name uncultured bacterium. Its description in RNAcentral is "bacterial SSU rRNA". It matches the Rfam family "Bacterial small subunit ribosomal RNA", at positions 381 to 793 of the family's 1533-position model. The record is from RNAcentral.